RNAcentral lists this transfer RNA (72 nucleotides) under Balaeniceps rex (shoebill). Its description in RNAcentral is "tRNA-Val". The record is from RNAcentral. Lineage: Eukaryota; Metazoa; Chordata; Aves; Pelecaniformes; Balaenicipitidae.
CGAGGCGUAGCUUUAACAUAAAGCGUCCAGCUUACACCUGAAAGAUACCUGCCCACAACCAGGUCGUCUCGA